Molecule: ribosomal RNA, 440 nt
Filed under: uncultured bacterium
Lineage: Bacteria
Description: bacterial SSU rRNA
Rfam family: Bacterial small subunit ribosomal RNA
Source: RNAcentral
CCUACGGGUGGCUGCAGUCGAGGAUCUUCGUCAAUGGGCGCAAGCCUGAACGAGCGACGCCGCGUGAGCGAUUGAAGGCCUUCGGGUUGUAAAGCUCAAAAGAGGAGAGCAAGGGGAAACCUUGAGCGAUCCUCAGUAAGCUCGGGCUAAGUUCGUGCCAGCAGCCGCGGUAAGACGAACCGAGCGAACGUUGUUCGGAAUCACUGGGCUUAAAGGGCGCGUAGGCGGGCUCCCAAGUCUGUGGUGAAAUCCUCCAGCUCAACUGGAGAACGGCCGUGGAUACUGGGAGUCUCGAGGGAGGUAGGGGCGUGCGGAACAGAUGGUGGAGCGGUGAAAUGCGUUGAUAUCAUCUGGAACUCCGGUGGCGAAGGCGGCACGCUGGACCUCUUCUGACGCUGAGGCGCGAAAGCCAGGGGAGCAAACGGGAUUAGAUACCCUAG